This 462-nucleotide long non-coding RNA is filed under the name Salvia miltiorrhiza (redroot sage). RNAcentral's name for it is "long non-coding RNA (SMIL_LNC008500)". The record is from RNAcentral. Lineage: Eukaryota; Viridiplantae; Streptophyta; Magnoliopsida; Lamiales; Lamiaceae.
UUAUUAAAUAGAGUUUUAUAUAAAAAGGAAAAAGAAAAAACCCUUGAAGGCACAAGAAAGCAAACUUAGGGCCCGAGACUCGAAAAGAGCUCGUAAAACAAAAACAUCAACGCAUAGGACAGCUUAAGUCAAAAGACAACACUUGGCAACAAAAUCAAUAAGGAAAAUCCUUGUUGGAAUGAAAGUCGUCCAACUCCAUUUCAUCCGACCAACGGCCGUGCGCGAUAUUGUUCAUAGCACGCAUAGCACUAUUGCUGCUAUGAUCAACCACAAAGUCCUUCGGCUUAUAUCCCAGUUCCUCCGCAUUUCUUAGACGACCUUUUAUGUAAUCUACCGGAUUCGGAUUCAGUGGCACGCGCGAACGUUCCAUACCCUUUUUAGGACGACCCGGUCCACGCUUAGGUGGAACUUGCUCAACGAGCAAUUCCAUCCCUUGACUAACCUGCGCCUCGAGCCUGCUAA